AAUUUAAAAAUUAAUAAGUUUAUAUUUUAGUUGAUAUUUAAUAAAAGGAAUUUUAAUAAUAGGAUUGUUUUAGUAAGAUAGUGAAUAGAUUUUUUAUUUAUAGAUUAAUAGUACUGUGAAGGAAUUUUGAAAUAGAAUAAAUUUAAUUAUUGUAAAGUAAAUUUUUAUUGUACCUUGAGUAUCAGGGUUUAUAAAAUUUGGAUUAGUGAAUUAUUAGAUUUCCCGAAUUAAAAAGAAUUAUAAUAGAUUUUAGGUUAAUGUUGAAUAAUUAUCUAAAAAUUUAUUAUAGAGAUGAAAUGUUAUUCGGUUUUUAAUAUAUCUGGUUUCUUAAGAGGUGAAUUUAAUUCAGAUUAUAUAAUUUAAUUGAUUAAAUUGAAUUUAUUGAUUAUAGAGUAUAAUUAAUAUUUUAAGGGAUAAGCUUUAGAAUAUAUAUAUAUUAAAAUAUUUAAGUUAAAUAAAGAUUAAUUAUAAGCUUUUAAUUAGCUAAUAAUGAAAUAAUGUUAUAAAUUAUUUAUUUUUGAGAUUAUUUUGUAUUGUUUAAUUAAUAUAUUAAGAUGAAUUAUUUAAUAAAAAGAUUUUUGUAAUAAUGAUAUAAUAAGUAAAUUGAGUUGUCUAAGUAAUUAUGGAUGUAUAUUUAUAUAAAGGAACUAGGCAAAGUUAAUAUAUUCGCCUGUUUAUCAAAAACAUGUCCUUUUGAUUCAGAAAUAUAAGGUUGGCCCUGCUCACUGUUUUAUAAAGAGCCGCGGUAUUAUGACCGUGCAAAGGUAGCAUAAUCAUUAGUCUUUUAAUUGAAGGCUGGAAUGAAAGGGUUGACGAGAUAUAAACUGUCUCUAUGUUAUUAAUUGAAAUUAAUCUUUAAGUUAAAAAGCUUAAAUGUAAAUAUGGGACGAGAAGACCCUAUAGAGUUUAAUAUAUUAGAAUUAAAAUUAUAUUAAGAUUAGAGAGGAUUGUAUUUUAUAGUAUAUUUUGUUGGGGUGACAGAAAGAUAAAAAUAACUCUUGAUUUUAAUUAACAUUGAUGUAUGAAUAUUUGAUCCAAUUAUAUUGAUUAUAAGAUUUAAUUACCUUAGGGAUAACAGCGUAAUUUUUUUUAAGAGUUCAUAUCAACAAAAAAGAUUGCGACCUCGAUGUUGGAUUAAGAGAUAAUAUUAGGUGUAGAAGCUUAAUAGAUAAGUCUGUUCGACUUUUGAAUUCUUACAUGAUCUGAGUUCAAACCGGUGUAAGCCAGGUUGGUUUCUAUCUAUAUUAGUUUUAUGUAUUUUAGUACGAAAGGACCAAAUAUAUACAAUAAUUGGUAAUAUGGAUUAACAUUAAUU
Molecule: ribosomal RNA, 1315 nt
Filed under: Lipotactes tripyrga
Lineage: Eukaryota; Metazoa; Arthropoda; Insecta; Orthoptera; Tettigoniidae
Description: 16S ribosomal RNA
Rfam family: Archaeal large subunit ribosomal RNA (bases 574-1315)
Source: RNAcentral